This 406-nucleotide ribosomal RNA is filed under the name uncultured bacterium. RNAcentral describes it as "partial 16S ribosomal RNA". It matches the Rfam family "Bacterial small subunit ribosomal RNA", at positions 30 to 526 of the family's 1533-position model. The record is from RNAcentral.
AUUGAACGCUGGCGGCAGGCCUAACACAUGCAAGUCGAACGAGUGGCGGACGGGUGAGUAAUGUCUGGGAAACUGCCUGAUGGAGGGGGAUAACUACUGGAAACGGUAGCUAAUACCGCAUCCCAUCGGAUGCUCCCAGAUGGGAUUAGCUAGUAGGUGGGGUAAAGGCUCACCUAGGCUACGAUCCCUAGCUGGUCUGCGAGGAUGACCAGCCACACUGGAACUUAGACACGGUCCAGCAUCCUACGGGAGGCAGCAGUGGUGAAUAUUGCACAAUGGGCGCAAGCCUGAUGCAGCCAUGCCGCGUGUAUGAAGAAGGACUUCGGGUUGUAAAGUACUUUCAGCGGGGAGGCGUUACCCGCAGAAGAAGCACCGGCUAACUCCGUGCCAGCAGCCGCGGUAAUUC